UACUUGAAAAAAAAAAGGCUUAAAUGGGUCUAUCAAACCAGAAGCUCUUAUGGGCAUGACUAAAGAUUGAUGUUCUCCACAGGAUGUCAGGCACUUAAUAGUGCUAAUGUUUUCCUUAGGAGAGAUGAGA
RNAcentral lists this small nucleolar RNA (130 nucleotides) under Peromyscus maniculatus bairdii (prairie deer mouse). Its description in RNAcentral is "Small nucleolar RNA SNORA25 (ENSPEMG00000001016.2)". The record is from RNAcentral. Lineage: Eukaryota; Metazoa; Chordata; Mammalia; Rodentia; Cricetidae.